RNAcentral lists this small RNA (95 nucleotides) under Nitrospirillum viridazoti Y2. RNAcentral describes it as "Azospirillum amazonense Y2 Repression of heat shock gene expression (ROSE) element". It matches the Rfam family "Repression of heat shock gene expression (ROSE) element". Rfam says of the family: This family represents a 5' UTR cis-regulatory element found in heat shock mRNAs and is known as the ROSE (repression of heat shock gene expression) element. The ROSE element is a negative regulator of heat shock gene expression. The record is from Rfam by way of RNAcentral. Lineage: Bacteria; Pseudomonadati; Pseudomonadota; Alphaproteobacteria; Rhodospirillales; Azospirillaceae.
UCGGAUGCCGAUUGUGGAUCCGGCCGAACCGGCUCCCGGGUGGGUCCCGGGGCCGCUCGUACCUCGUUGCUCAAUGGAGGACAUGGCUAUGAGCG